GGUUCAGUGGUGUAGUUGGUUAUCACAUCUGUCUCACAUUUGAGUGCCCACAGGUGGUCUCCGGUUCGAACCCGGGCUGAACCA
This is a non-coding RNA of Postia placenta Mad-698-R, 84 nucleotides long. NCBI's taxonomy places the organism in Eukaryota, Fungi, Basidiomycota, Agaricomycetes, Polyporales, Adustoporiaceae. The record is from Rfam.